Molecule: ribosomal RNA, 498 nt
Filed under: uncultured bacterium
Lineage: Bacteria
Description: bacterial SSU rRNA
Rfam family: Bacterial small subunit ribosomal RNA
Source: RNAcentral
AGAGUUUGAUUAUGGCUCAGAACGAACGCUGGUGGCGUGUCUUAUACAUGCAAGUCGAGCGAGGCAGCAAUGCCGAGCGGCGAACGGGUGAGUAACGCGUAAGCAAUCUGCCCCAUAUCAGGAAAUACCCGUGCCAACGCGCGGUUAAUGUCCAGGAGAGUGGCCCCCUGCAUGGAGGGUUGACUAGAGAUUUAUCGGUAUGGGAUGAGCUUGCGUCCGAUUAGCUAGUUGGCGGGGCAACGGCCCACCAAGGCGACGAUCGGUAGCCGGCCUGAGAGGGUGAUCGGCCACAUUGGGACUGAGAUACGGCCCAGACUCCUACGGGAGGCAGCAGUAGGGAAUAUUGCACAAUGGGGGAAACCCUGAUGCAGCAACGCCACGUGUGGGAAGAAGCAUUUCGGUGUGUAAACCACUGUCAUGAGGGAAUAAGGCCCGCCUUCGGACGGGAUUGAAUGUACCUUGAGAGGAAGCACCGGCAAACUUCGUGCCAGCCGCUGC